UGCGUAGGCGGGUUUCUAAGUCAGAGGUGAAAGCCUGGAGCUCAACCCCAGAACUGCCUUUGAUACUGGAAGUCUUGAGUACGGCAGAGGUGAGUGGAACUGCGAGUGUAGAGGUGAAAUUCGUAGAUAUUCGCAAGAACACCAGUGGCGAAGGCGGCUCACUGGGCCAUUACUGACGCUGAGGCACGAAAGCGUGGGAGCAAACA
This 206-nucleotide ribosomal RNA is filed under the name uncultured bacterium. RNAcentral's name for it is "partial 16S ribosomal RNA". It matches the Rfam family "Bacterial small subunit ribosomal RNA", at positions 568 to 774 of the family's 1533-position model. The record is from RNAcentral.